CUCAGGUGGGCCAGACCGUAAUAUCAAUACUGAUACUGCCUAUUGGUAUCCCUCUCAAGGCCCUGGAAGGCACCGAAAGGCAAUGGGAAGCAGAAUACGUGCAUCUGAUUGAUCACUUCUAAUUUCUGAAGGGUCCCCUUGGACUGCAGCAUAGGAAUUGUCCUGGAUCGUGAUGAAGAUGAAGAGAAAUGAAGGGACAUAAAAGCUCAACACAACAGGCCUCGGUCAUGGGCUGGAUAUACGGAGGGGCUGUGGGGAAGGCUGUAAUGACUCCAAGGUUUCAGGCUUCUAUGUGACUGUUAUUCCCUAAACAGGCUGGGAGCUGAGGCGAGGUCUGGGACAAAGAGAGGCCGAAUGCUGCUGAUAGGUUCAUUGAGACGGAAAAAAAGGAAGCUUAAGGAAACAGGAUGUUCUCAGGCCUCUCAAUUUAUACUGUCUACAAUUAAGAUCGAUCACCAUGCAGGAUUUAUAUUACCUAUAGCACAUUAAGAGAACACCCGAGUGGCUGAGAAGUGGAAGGCCACGCCGUAGUUUCUUGGACAUGUGGCAGAUGGUUGUGUUGCCCCUUGGAGAUGACCUUCUAUAAGACAGGUAUAGUUCUGUGAGAAUCACUGGACUUGAACUACAAGCCUACUCAGCAGGAGUUAUACGUAGCGUCUGCAGAGGACAACUGCUGAUCUCUAGUCAGUGGACCAGUUUACCCUUUCUUUCUAGAGUAGCAGCCAAUUCUGUAGGGUCCAAAAGCACUAUGUCAGUAACUAAGUUUUACAGAUGGAGGAAUGGAUGGAUAGAUGACAAGAUAAAUUAUAAACGCAUAGAUCCUGGAAUAGAUCCCUUGAUGACUGGUUAAAGCAUCACUAGGUAAAAGAAGGUUCAGA
This is a long non-coding RNA of Balaenoptera ricei (Rice's whale), 878 nucleotides long. RefSeq lists it as uncharacterized. The transcript is spliced from 3 exons. Lineage: Eukaryota; Metazoa; Chordata; Mammalia; Artiodactyla; Balaenopteridae. The record is from RefSeq and is a predicted model, not a curated record.